Molecule: microRNA precursor, 144 nt
Filed under: Phaseolus vulgaris (common bean)
Lineage: Eukaryota; Viridiplantae; Streptophyta; Magnoliopsida; Fabales; Fabaceae
Description: pre miRNA MIR2118
Source: RNAcentral
AGAGGAGGGUGGCAGAGGAGUGCACAGAGUACGUGAAAGUGAGUGACGAUGACAAAGACGUGUGAAUAUUAAUAAAGAUUACACUUCUUUGCCACUGUCACUCACUUUCACGUACUCCGCGCACUCCUCCGCCACCUUUCUUCA